Long non-coding RNA from Marmota flaviventris (yellow-bellied marmot), 427 nucleotides. RefSeq lists it as uncharacterized. NCBI's taxonomy places the organism in Eukaryota, Metazoa, Chordata, Mammalia, Rodentia, Sciuridae. The record is from RefSeq and is a predicted model, not a curated record.
CGGCCCCUCUCUAUCCCAGCCCGCCGCGUUCGCCCAAUGCUCCUGAGCGUGUCUCUGGGCGGGUUCGCUGCCAAGCACGGACGCCCCCUCCUCCUGCACACAGGGUGCUGUGCACAGUAGGGCGGAGCGGGCAGCCUGGUCGCGGGAGGACGUGGCGCCUGUCAGAGGCGUCUGUGCACGCUUCUGGAGAUGGGGACGCAGGAAGGUGACAGUCUCCCAGUGUCACUCGACAGGGUGGUCUGCCACGGGGGACUGCUGUUGUGCGCCAGGACGACCAGUGGUUGGGCACCGGCUGGGGCCCUCUCACUUCCUGGGGAGGUCCAGGGGCUGCCUGUAGUUUAGUCACCUAGCUGAGCACUGAGCGCCGAGCGAAACGGCAGUCUUGGAAGCCCACGGUCUCCAAGAGAGUCGCUUGCCCGGUGUGGAA